RNAcentral lists this ribosomal RNA (1527 nucleotides) under Klebsiella aerogenes. Its description in RNAcentral is "bacterial SSU rRNA". It matches the Rfam family "Bacterial small subunit ribosomal RNA". The record is from RNAcentral. Lineage: Bacteria; Pseudomonadati; Pseudomonadota; Gammaproteobacteria; Enterobacterales; Enterobacteriaceae.
AGAGUUUGAUCAUGGCUCAGAUUGAACGCUGGCGGCAGGCCUAACACAUGCAAGUCGAGCGGUAGCACAGAGAGCUUGCUCUCGGGUGACGAGCGGCGGACGGGUGAGUAAUGUCUGGGAAACUGCCUGAUGGAGGGGGAUAACUACUGGAAACGGUAGCUAAUACCGCAUAACGUCGCAAGACCAAAGUGGGGGACCUUCGGGCCUCAUGCCAUCAGAUGUGCCCAGAUGGGAUUAGCUAGUAGGUGGGGUAAUGGCUCACCUAGGCGACGAUCCCUAGCUGGUCUGAGAGGAUGACCAGCCACACUGGAACUGAGACACGGUCCAGACUCCUACGGGAGGCAGCAGUGGGGAAUAUUGCACAAUGGGCGCAAGCCUGAUGCAGCCAUGCCGCGUGUAUGAAGAAGGCCUUCGGGUUGUAAAGUACUUUCAGCGAGGAGGAAGGCGUUAAGGUUAAUAACCUUGGCGAUUGACGUUACUCGCAGAAGAAGCACCGGCUAACUCCGUGCCAGCAGCCGCGGUAAUACGGAGGGUGCAAGCGUUAAUCGGAAUUACUGGGCGUAAAGCGCACGCAGGCGGUCUGUCAAGUCGGAUGUGAAAUCCCCGGGCUCAACCUGGGAACUGCAUUCGAAACUGGCAGGCUAGAGUCUUGUAGAGGGGGGUAGAAUUCCAGGUGUAGCGGUGAAAUGCGUAGAGAUCUGGAGGAAUACCGGUGGCGAAGGCGGCCCCCUGGACAAAGACUGACGCUCAGGUGCGAAAGCGUGGGGAGCAAACAGGAUUAGAUACCCUGGUAGUCCACGCCGUAAACGAUGUCGACUUGGAGGUUGUGCCCUUGAGGCGUGGCUUCCGGAGCUAACGCGUUAAGUCGACCGCCUGGGGAGUACGGCCGCAAGGUUAAAACUCAAAUGAAUUGACGGGGCCCGCACAAGCGGUGGAGCAUGUGGUUUAAUUCGAUGCAACGCGAAGAACCUUACCUACUCUUGACAUCCAGAGAACUUAGCAGAGAUGCUUUGGUGCCUUCGGGAACUCUGAGACAGGUGCUGCAUGGCUGUCGUCAGCUCGUGUUGUGAAAUGUUGGGUUAAGUCCCGCAACGAGCGCAACCCUUAUCCUUUGUUGCCAGCGGUCCGGCCGGGAACUCAAAGGAGACUGCCAGUGAUAAACUGGAGGAAGGUGGGGAUGACGUCAAGUCAUCAUGGCCCUUACGAGUAGGGCUACACACGUGCUACAAUGGCAUAUACAAAGAGAAGCGACCUCGCGAGAGCAAGCGGACCUCAUAAAGUAUGUCGUAGUCCGGAUUGGAGUCUGCAACUCGACUCCAUGAAGUCGGAAUCGCUAGUAAUCGUAGAUCAGAAUGCUACGGUGAAUACGUUCCCGGGCCUUGUACACACCGCCCGUCACACCAUGGGAGUGGGUUGCAAAAGAAGUAGGUAGCUUAACCUUCGGGAGGGCGCUUACCACUUUGUGAUUCAUGACUGGGGUGAAGUCGUAACAAGGUAACCGUAGGGGAACCUGCGGUUGGAUCACCU